Molecule: long non-coding RNA, 2108 nt
Organism: Nycticebus coucang (slow loris)
Lineage: Eukaryota; Metazoa; Chordata; Mammalia; Primates; Lorisidae
Exons: 4
Source: RefSeq, a predicted model, not a curated record
GAUAGGAGACGUGGAAGACGCCGUCUGCCUCCACGCCUUUUACUGUGCCAUAUGGAGGCGCUGCGGUGCCCUCCCUGCGCGGUAUAACUGGUGGCUGCAGGCCCCUGAUGUUCUCUUCUACCCGCUGAGGCCGGAGUUGGUGGAGUCCACGUACCUCCUCUACCCGGUACUAGAGUGCGCUGAGCAGUGCUCUGUGUGGAAACGCUGGGAAGACUGGAGCCUCCGCUUCUUCAUCAACACCUGCUGACUGAGAUGGAGAAAGGGGAAAUCAUGUGAACCAGUAAUGAUCCUUAUGCCUAAAGACUGACCUCAUGAAUUUUAGCGAAUCUCUCAGAAAAGAAAGCCUGUAACUGGAUAAUUUAUAAAGAAAAGGAACUUAUUUCAUACAGUUACGGAGUCUGAGAAGUUCAAGAGAUUCUUUGGCUAAAAUGUUCGAGGUGGAUCAAAAGGAGCAAUCCUACAUGGCAUAGACUAAAUCAAGCAAAUAGAAAGCUUCUCCUUCACAGACUCAAUAUUAUGGUUUCCCGCCUGUGCUGAUUGUUCGUUCUUGGUAUUUCAAUACAGAGUACAGAGUUCCCUUAAUGUAUUGCUGACAAAACGUGAGUAUAAAGCUACAGCUCCUCAGAUACGAUAAGGAGAGAUGGAUGGAACUCCUUCGUGUUCAGUUUACCUUCUGGAUAAUGGUUUAUCUGCUAGCAUUACAUGUUCCCUUUUAUAAAGCACCAUCAAAAUCAGCUAAUAGUUUUAAGAAUGCAAAUUUUGCCUUUCAAGUGUGAUCAAGAACUCAUUGAGAGUUCACAUGUCUUCAAGUCUCCAUGUGGCCUAGAACAGUAUUGGGUAUAAAGAAUUUGUACCUUUUGAAUGAGUUAGCCAGAUGAAUCUUAUUUUCUACAAGUAUUUGAAGUGGCUGUGAGUAGUAUAGGCAUUCCAUAAAUAAGCCUAAUUUAAACUUGUCUCUGCUCUUCAGUAACAGGGUAUUAACUAGAUUCAUUCCUGUUGCUUAAAAAUUUUGGCUAAGGCUUCAAAAGUGAGAUCAGUGGAUCUUUGGAAUCAAUGGAUCCAUAUCUCUUUGAGAUAUUAAUAAAGAUAGGAAAACCAGUCUAAUGACUGCUACCCCCAUCUGGGCUGGAAAAAAAGGAGGCUAGAGGUUGAUAGGAGGGAUUCUUUGAAACAAAUUCCUGUGAUGAAAGGAGGGAGAUACUUGCUACUCUUUCCUUCCCUUAGUAUUUGCAGCGCCUGUGAAAAGGGCACCACAUUUAUUGACCAAAGCUUUCCAUGAUGUCAGGAAGGGAAGGGAGGCCUCAGCAGGUGUAUUUCCAUGGUUUUCAGGGGGAAAAAAGAAUGAAUUCUUGAGUAUCAGAUGAAUCCCAACAUGCUGACAGAAUAUUAAUGAAGAGCUUCCUAUCAAGGCAAGGGGACCCCUGAGGAUAGAAACCACUAAAGGGGGUUCUCUGGAAGGUUGGCUGGAGAACCUAUCACUUGAAUCAGUAUCUAAAUAACUACUUACGCACCCUACAGAAGCUCCAGAAUUUGAUGACUCCUGUAACAGAAACUAUUAGACAAUUUAAAAAGAACUAUAAACACAGUCAGUAAGGGACAUUUACCUGUUUUUCUUUUCAUUCUUUCACUUUUUGCCUCCUCCUUUCCCUCUUCAAAUAUCACAUUAAAUCAACAUUCAAAGAUCCGGAGCAAAAGAAAAGAGUGUCAGGGAAAAAGGAACAUGACUUGCUGUUCAUCCUGCUUUGUUGCCAUAGGAUGCACAGAAAUAAAACUCAUUCUGACUUUAAAUAUAAGUUAAAAAUGGAGUUUUCACUAUUUAUAAUGACCCAAACGCCCACCACCCCCAAGUGUGUACAUAAAUUGCAGUAUCACCACCCAGUGAAAUGGGAAUGAACUAUUAGAAUAACACGUGACCAUGUGACUGAUUCUCACAUAGGUAACACUGAGGGAAAGAUGUCAGAGGGAGAGUGCCUGCCUCGUGAUUCAGUUUAUGUAAAGUAUAAAAACAGACAAAACUAAACUAGUGGAGGUCCAGAGUGGGUAGCCUGGGUGGACAGCGGUGGUUUUCUGGGGUAUGAAAGUGCUUCUGGGAUGCUGGAAAGUUCUGU